RNAcentral lists this ribosomal RNA (610 nucleotides) under uncultured bacterium. RNAcentral describes it as "bacterial SSU rRNA". It matches the Rfam family "Bacterial small subunit ribosomal RNA", at positions 331 to 933 of the family's 1533-position model. The record is from RNAcentral.
CCAGACUCCUACGGAGGCAGCAGUGGGGAAUCUUCCGCAAUGGACGAAAGUCUGACGGAGCAACGCCGCGUGAGUGAUGACGGCCUUCGGGUUGUAAAGCUCUGUUAAUCGGGACGAAAGGCCUUCUUGCGAAUAGUGAGAAGGAUUGACGGUACCGGAAUAGAAAGCCACGGCUAACUACGUGCCAGCAGCCGCGGUAAUACGUAGGUGGCAAGCGUUGUCCGGAAUUAUUGGGCGUAAAGCGCGCGCAGGCGGAUAGGUCAGUCUGUCUUAAAAGUUCGGGGCUUAACCCCGUGAUGGGAUGGAAACUGCCAAUCUAGAGUAUCGGAGAGGAAAGUGGAAUUCCUAGUGUAGCGGUGAAAUGCGUAGAUAUUAGGAAGAACACCAGUGGCGAAGGCGACUUUCUGGACGAAAACUGACGCUGAGGCGCGAAAGCCAGGGGAGCGAACGGGAUUAGAUACCCCGGUAGUCCUGGCCGUAAACGAUGGGUACUAGGUGUAGGAGGUAUCGACCCCUUCUGUGCCGGAGUUAACGCAAUAAGUACCCCGCCUGGGGAGUACGACCGCAAGGUUGAAACUCAAAGGAAUUGACGGGGGCCCGCACAAGAAGG